ACGCUAGCUACAGGCUUAACACAUGCAAGUCGAGGGGCAGCAUGGUCUUAGCUUGCUAAGGCCGAUGGCGACCGGCGCACGGGUGAGUAACACGUAUCCAACCUGCCGUCUACUCUUGGACAGCCUUCUGAAAGGAAGAUUAAUACAAGAUGGCAUCAUGAGUCCGCAUGUUCACAUGAUUAAAGGUAUUCCGGUAGACGAUGGGGAUGCGUUCCAUUAGAUAGUAGGCGGGGUAACGGCCCACCUAGUCUUCGAUGGAUAGGGGUUCUGAGAGGAAGGUCCCCCACAUUGGAACUGAGACACGGUCCAAACUCCUACGGGAGGCAGCAGUGAGGAAUAUUGGUCAAUGGGCGAGAGCCUGAACCAGCCAAGUAGCGUGAAGGAUGACUGCCCUAUGGGUUGUAAACUUCUUUUAUAAAGGAAUAAAGUCGGGUAUGGAUACCCGUUUGCAUGUACUUUAUGAAUAAGGAUCGGCUAACUCCGUGUCAGCAGCCGCGGUAAUACGGAGGAUCCGAGCGUUAUCCGGAUUUAUUGGGUUUAAAGGGAGCGUAGAUGGAUGUUUAAGUCAGUUGUGAAAGUUUGCGGCUCAACCGUAAAAUUGCAGUUGAUACUGGAUAUCUUGAGUGCAGUUGAGGCAGGCGGAAUUCGUGGUGUAGCGGUGAAAUGCUUAGAUAUCACGAAGAACUCCGAUUGCGAAGGCAGCCUGCUAAGCUGCAACUGACAUUGAGGCUCGAAAGUGUGGGUAUCAAACAGGAUUAGAUACCCUGGUAGUCCACACGGUAAACGAUGAAUACUCGCUGUUUGCGAUAUACAGCAAGCGGCCAAGCGAAAGCGUUAAGUAUUCCACCUGGGGAGUACGCCGGCAACGGUGAAACUCAAAGGAAUUGACGGGGGCCCGCACAAGCGGAGGAACAUGUGGUUUAAUUCGAUGAUACGCGAGGAACCUUACCCGGGCUUAAAUUGCAGAUGAAUUACGGUGAAAGCCGUAAGCCGCAAGGCAUCUGUGAAGGUGCUGCAUGGUUGUCGUCAGCUCGUGCCGUGAGGUGUCGGCUUAAGUGCCAUAACGAGCGCAACCCUUGUUGUCAGUUACUAACAGGUUCCGCUGAGGACUCUGACAAGACUGCCAUCGUAAGAUGUGAGGAAGGUGGGGAUGACGUCAAAUCAGCACGGCCCUUACGUCCGGGGCUACACACGUGUUACAAUGGGGGGUACAGAGGGCCGCUACCACGCGAGUGGAUGCCAAUCCCCAAAACCUCUCUCAGUUCGGACUGGAGUCUGCAACCCGACUCCACGAAGCUGGAUUCGCUAGUAAUCGCGCAUCAGCCACGGCGCGGUGAAUACGUUCCCGGGCCUUGUACACACCGCCCGUCAAGCCAUGGGAGCCGGGGGUACCUGAAGUGCGUAACCGCGAGGAGCGCCCUAGGGUAAAACUGGUGACUGGGGCUAAGU
RNAcentral lists this ribosomal RNA (1449 nucleotides) under uncultured organism. RNAcentral describes it as "SSU rRNA". It matches the Rfam family "Bacterial small subunit ribosomal RNA". The record is from RNAcentral.